Molecule: long non-coding RNA, 184 nt
Filed under: Dasypus novemcinctus (nine-banded armadillo)
Lineage: Eukaryota; Metazoa; Chordata; Mammalia; Cingulata; Dasypodidae
Description: lncRNA (ENSDNOG00000052275.1)
Source: RNAcentral
GGCGAGGGGGGAGCUUCCUGCCGGCCCUGCCGCGGGCGUGCCGGCGGCGCGCUCUGGCCGCGGGCCCGGGGCGUGAAAAAUAUUCUCUGGCCUGAAUCCUGAAUUGGGUUUGUUGGUCAAAAGAUCAAGGCUUUCUUCUAUCUGCCACCUAAUGACACAAAUGUGACACAGCAGCCACAUCUGC